GGGUAUCUGGCUUUCUCCUCGUGUGCAAUCAGUAAAACACAUAUAGGGGCCACUUCGGGAUUUGCCCAGGGAAGGGUUGGAGAGCAGCUGGCUGCGGUAAUCUCCUCGGGAGACAAAGGAAUGCCCCGUCCCAGGAUCACAGAAUCGCGUGGCAUAAAUUAAGCCAGAGAAGAAUGAGCGCCGUGGGCAGGAUCCUGCCGGCUCUCACGGCGCCUUUCAGUCACGCUCAGCAGCGGUAAUCGAGAAAUCUGUGCCACGUCAAUUUAACAAAUACCCGGUACCGAAGGGGGGAUGUUAAGGAUUUGGGGAUUAAAAGAUACGCGUUGAUAUAUCACUUCUUGCCUCCACCGACGGGCCACCACCCAAAUUUCAAGAAAGAUAUUGCCGCUCACCCCCGCUCCCCCGCCCCACUCGCUUAGUAAACCUCAUACGAAGUGAUGUUUUCCCGCUCUCUCUCUUUUUCCCGGGGAUAACGCCGCAGCAAAGUUUGCGAAGCAGCGACAAGCCACUUGAAAAGAUGUUGACGCUAGGUGGCAAAAGUAAUGUGCAGUGAAAACCGGCGCUGCUGCGGGAUGCGCCCCCCCGCUCCCCGUGCUGAUGCUGGGCACGGCGGGGGCGGGCGGCCGGGCCUCCGGGGAUCCGCCGCCCGCUCCGCUCCGCUCCCUCCUGGGCCGCCUUCCCUACGUCCUCGCACUAUGCCUGCGGGAUUGCUGGUCCCUUCUCUGCCCAGACACAGCUCCCGGGUAAAAAAAACCAAACAAAACCAAACCAACCAACCAACCAAACAAACAAAAAAAAAAACCAAAACAAAACAAAAAAAAACCAAAAAAAAAAAAAACCCAAAACCAAAAAAAACCCCCACCAAACCCAAACAUUCCUGUACAUUUUAAACUUUUGCUUAUGCGUCGAGGGGCGGGAAGAGGUGAGAGGAAGAGCGCCUGGAUGUAGAUGGCUCGUUCGACUACAAUUAGAUGUAAAGGACGCACGUUGAGUAGCAAAACGUUGCAAAGAUCUGGAUGCUUGUACCAAGGGUUGGAGUAGGUGGCCUGGGUUUGGGGUAGGUGCCACAAACCCCUAGUAAAUGAAUGUGGGCAGUUACAGUCCUGGAACAGUCAAGAAGAGCUGGGCUGAAUGAACUCAUUAGUGAUUUUCUUUUAAUUGGUAUUACUCAAUGCUUUUACUUUAAGAAGUCUUUAAGAUUUUUUUUUCCUAGCGCAUUGUAAGAUAAUUUGUGAUCAAGACAUCUGCUUCAAUGGAAGCCACAUUUUGCCAUGCAAAUGCACGUUUCAACCCAAUAAAGUCGCCAUAAUAAGGCUUUUAGCACGGCAUACCUACAGUGAGGUUAUUGUAGCCAAAUCCUCUCCUUUCGCACACAAGCUUAAUCUGUGCUGAAAUGAUCUGUUACAAUUAAAAUGACAUUUACAGAGACAGUUAUACCUUGCAUCCUAAUGAAUCCGCCUGUGCCUACCAAAGGUGUUUAAACAGAGGGCCUAAACAAAGUGGAAAACCCUGCUUCGAGUGACAUGCCAGAGUCGCCCUCCAACUUUUAUCCCCUGCUUCCAUCCAUUAUUAAGAAACUGCU
Onychostruthus taczanowskii (white-rumped snowfinch) is the source of this 1582-nucleotide long non-coding RNA. RefSeq lists it as uncharacterized. The transcript has 3 exons. NCBI's taxonomy places the organism in Eukaryota, Metazoa, Chordata, Aves, Passeriformes, Passeridae. The record is from RefSeq and is a predicted model, not a curated record.